RNAcentral lists this ribosomal RNA (488 nucleotides) under Fluxinella sp. Amami. RNAcentral describes it as "partial 16S rRNA". It matches the Rfam family "Bacterial large subunit ribosomal RNA", at positions 1817 to 2577 of the family's 2925-position model. The record is from RNAcentral. Lineage: Eukaryota; Metazoa; Mollusca; Gastropoda; Seguenziida; Seguenziidae.
GGCUUCUUGUUGUCUUUAGAUAGGAAGUCUGGCCUGCCCGGUGAUGAGAUAUUUAACGGCCGCGGUACUUUGACCGUGCAAAGGUAGCAUAAUCAUUUGCUCUUUAAUUGAGGGCUGGUAUGAAUGGUUUGACGAGAAUUUAGCUGUCUCUUUAAAAAUGCUGAGAAAUUAACUUUUAGGUGAAGAGGCCUAAAUUUUGUUAAGGGACAAGAAGACCCUGUUGAGCUUUAGUGACUAUUUGGGUUAGGUGUCUUGUAGAAAUCUUACUAAAAGAAAUCUUUGGCUGGGACGACUUAGGAACAAAUAAAACUUCCUAUAUUAGUGUUAGACAUGCGUGUAGAUUGAUCCAAUAUUAUUGAUUGAAGGAACAAGUUACCACAGGGAUAACAGCGUAAUCUUCUUGGAGAGUUCGAAUCAAAAAGUGGGUUUGCGACCUCGAUGUUGGACUAAGAUAUCCUAGUGGGUGUAAAAGUUCCUAAGGGUUGGUC